AUAACGGUCCUAAGGUAGCGAAAUUCCUUGUCAGGUAAGUUCUGACCCGCACGAAUGGCGUAAUGAUUUGGGCACUGUCUCAACAGCCCGCCCGGCGAAAUUGUAGUACUGGUGAAGAUGCCAGUUACCCGCAACUAGACGGAAAGACCCCAUGGAGCUUUACUGCAGCUUAAUACUGAAAUUCGGUAGUACAUGUACAGGAUAGGUGGGAGACUGAGAAAUACAGGCGUCAGCUUGUAUGGAGUCGCUGUUGGGAUACCACUCUUGUACUGCUGGGUUUCUAACCUGCGGCCGUGAAUCCGGUCGGGGGACACUGUUAGGCGGGCAGUUUGACUGGGGCGGUCGCCUCCAAAAGAGUAACGGAGGCGCUCAAAGGUUCGCUCAGCAUGGACGGAAACCAUGCUAUUGAGUGUAAACGCAUAAGCGAGCCUAACUGCGAGACUGACGGGUCGAGCAGUAACGAAAGUUGGAGUUAGUGAUCCGGUGGUAUGUGAGUGGAAAUGCCAUCGCUCAACGGAUAAAAGUUACCCUGGGGAUAACAGGCUGAUCUCCCCCAAGAGUCCACAUCGACGGGGAGGUUUGGCACCUCGAUGUCGGCUCAUCGCAUCCUGGGGCUGUAUUCGGUCCCAAGGGUUUGGCUGUUCGCCAAUUAAAGCGGCACGCGAGCUGGGUUCAGAACGUCGUGAGACAGUUCGGUCCCUAUCUGUUGCGGGCGUAAGAGAUUUGAAGGGAGCUGUCCUUAGUACGAGAGGACCGGGAUGGACGUACCUCUGGUGCACCAGUUGUCCUGCCAAGGGCAUAGCUGGGUAGCUAUGUACGGACGAGAUAAACGCUGAAAGCAUCUAAGCGUGAAACUCCCCCUAAGAUGAGAUCUCUCAUCCUUUAUGGAGUAAGGGCCCAGAAAGACGAUCUGGUUGAUAGGCCGGAGGUGGAAGUGCAGUAAUGUAUGCAGCUGACCGGUACUAAUAGCCCGAGGGCUUGACCUA
Molecule: ribosomal RNA, 986 nt
Filed under: human gut metagenome
Description: bacterial LSU rRNA
Rfam family: Bacterial large subunit ribosomal RNA
Source: RNAcentral